RNAcentral lists this ribosomal RNA (254 nucleotides) under uncultured bacterium. RNAcentral describes it as "partial 16S ribosomal RNA". It matches the Rfam family "Bacterial small subunit ribosomal RNA", at positions 524 to 776 of the family's 1533-position model. The record is from RNAcentral.
UACGUAGGGUGCGAGCGUUGUCCGGAAUUAUUGGGCGUAAAGAGCUCGUAGGCGGUGUGUCACGUCGUUCGUGAAAACCUGCAGCUUAACUGUGGGCGUGCGGUCGAUACGGGCAUCACUGGAGUUCGGCAGGGGAGACUGGAAUUCCUGGUGUAGCGGUGAAAUGCGCAGAUAUCAGGAGGAACACCGGUGGCGAAGGCGGGUCUCUGGGCCGAUACUGACGCUGAGGAACGAAAGCCAGGGUAGCGAACGGG